AUAAUGAAUAUCAAAGGUGGGGUCCACAUGAUGGGUAAUCCACAUUAAAGGCGGGCUUCACAUGAUGGGUGGUGGAUAUUGAAGGUCGGUAUAGACAACCCACCUAGGCUAACAACUUAAUGAGGCAUGAAUGAUCCUUAAGAGCUCAUUACCUAAAACUCAAACCUUAACUAUUACUUAAAACCCCCAAGCCCUAGCCACUACCUAAGCGAGUAUCUACGCCUUAACCAUACUCAAGCAUUAGCCAAGCCUUAACAAUCACGCAAGCCUCAGCCAUCUUUCUAAGCCAAACUUAGCUUAAGCUAAAACCACCCCAAAAUUUGUUUGAAUUCAAGGCAAAUUCAAACCAAAUGUGAAAAACAAUAAAAAAAAAAUCCAAAGAAUAGAAGUAAAA
This is a long non-coding RNA of Magnolia sinica, 394 nucleotides long. RefSeq lists it as uncharacterized. The record is from RefSeq and is a predicted model, not a curated record. The transcript is spliced from 2 exons. NCBI's taxonomy places the organism in Eukaryota, Viridiplantae, Streptophyta, Magnoliopsida, Magnoliales, Magnoliaceae.